GACGAACGCUGGCGGCGUGCUUAACACAUGCAAGUCGAACGGAAAGGCCCUGCUUUUGUGGGGUGCUCGAGUGGCGAACGGGUGAGUAACACGUGAGUAACCUGCCCUUGACUUUGGGAUAACUUCAGGAAACUGGGGCUAAUACCGGAUAGGAGCUCCUGCUGCAUGGUGGGGGUUGGAAAGUUUCGGCGGUUGGGGAUGGACUCGCGGCUUAUCAGCUUGUUGGUGGGGUAGUGGCUUACCAAGGCUUUGACGGGUAGCCGGCCUGAGAGGGUGACCGGCCACAUUGGGACUGAGAUACGGCCCAGACUCCUACGGGAGGCAGCAGUGGGGAAUAUUGCACAAUGGGCGGAAGCCUGAUGCAGCAACGCCGCGUGCGGGAUGACGGCCUUCGGGUUGUAAACCGCUUUCGCCUGUGACGAAGCGUGAGUGACGGUAAUGGGUAAAGAAGCACCGGCUAACUACGUGCCAGCAGCCGCGGUGAUACGUAGGGUGCGAGCGUUGUCCGGAUUUAUUGGGCGUAAAGGGCUCGUAGGUGGUUGAUCGCGUCGGAAGUGUAAUCUUGGGACUUAACCCUGAGCGUGCUUUCGAUACGGGUUGACUUGAGGAAGGUAGGGGAGAAUGGAAUUCCUGGUGGAGCGGUGGAAUGCGCAGAUAUCAGGAGGAACACCAGUGGCGAAGGCGGUUCUCUGGGCCUUUCCUGACGCUGAGGAGCGAAAGCGUGGGGAGCGAACAGGCUUAGAUACCCUGGUAGUCCACGCUGUAAACGGUGGGUACUAGGUGUGGGGUCCAUUCCACGGGUUCCGUGCCGUAGCUAACGCUUUAAGUACCCCGCCUGGGGAGUACGGCCGCAAGGCUAAAACUCAAAGGAAUUGACGGGGCCCCGCACAAGCGGCGGAGCAUGCGGAUUAAUUCGAUGCAACGCGUAGAACCUUACCUGGGUUUGACAUGGAUCGGGAGUGCUCAGAGAUGGGUGUGCCUCUUUUGGGGUCGGUUCACAGGUGGUGCAUGGCUGUCGUCAGCUCGUGUCGUGAGAUGUUGGGUUAAGUCCCGCAACGAGCGCAACCCUUGUUCACUGUUGCCAGCACGUUAUGGUGGGGACUCAGUGGAGACCGCCGGGGUCGACUCGGAGGAAGGUGGGGAUGACGUCAAGUCAUCAUGCCCCUUAUGUCCAGGGCUUCACGCAUGCUACAAUGGCUGGUACAGAGAGUGGCGAGCCUGUGAGGGUGAGCGAAUCUCGGAAAGCCGGUCUCAGUUCGGAUUGGGGUCUGCAACUCGACCUCAUGAAGUCGGAGUCGCUAGUAAUCGCAGAUCAGCAACGCUGCGGUGAAUACGUUCCCGGG
This 1343-nucleotide ribosomal RNA is filed under the name uncultured bacterium. RNAcentral describes it as "16S ribosomal RNA". It matches the Rfam family "Bacterial small subunit ribosomal RNA", at positions 28 to 1378 of the family's 1533-position model. The record is from RNAcentral.